RNAcentral lists this ribosomal RNA (592 nucleotides) under Fusarium solani. RNAcentral describes it as "eukaryotic LSU rRNA". The stretch from base 207 to 360 matches the Rfam family "5.8S ribosomal RNA". The record is from RNAcentral. Lineage: Eukaryota; Fungi; Ascomycota; Sordariomycetes; Hypocreales; Nectriaceae.
GGAAGUAAAAGUCGUAACAAGGUCUCCGUUGGUGAACCAGCGGAGGGAUCAUUACCGAGUUAUACAACUCAUCAACCCCUGUGAACUUACCUAUAACGUUGCUUCGGCGGGAACAGACGGCCCCGUAAAACGGGCCGCCCCCGCCAGAGGACCCCUAACUCUGUUUUUAUAAAUGUUUUUUCUGAGUAAACAAGCAAAUAAAUUAAAACUUUCAACAACGGAUCUCUUGGCUCUGGCAUCGAUGAAGAACGCAGCGAAAUGCGAUAAGUAAUGUGAAUUGCAGAAUUCAGUGAAUCAUCGAAUCUUUGAACGCACAUUGCGCCCGCCAGUAUUCUGGCGGGCAUGCCUGUUCGAGCGUCAUUACAACCCUCAGGCCUCCGGGCCUGGCGUUGGGGAUCGGCGGAGCCCCCCCGUGGGCACACGCCGUCCCCCAAACACAGUGGCGGUCCCGCCGCAGCUUCCAUUGCGUAGUAGCUAACACCUCGCAACUGGAGAGCGGCGCGGCCACGCCGUAAAACACCCAACUUCUGAAUGUUGACCUCGAAUCAGGUAGGAAUACCCGCUGAACUUAAGCAUAUCAAUAAGCGGAGGA